This is a non-coding RNA of Ictidomys tridecemlineatus (thirteen-lined ground squirrel), 3658 nucleotides long. The record is from RefSeq and is a predicted model, not a curated record. Lineage: Eukaryota; Metazoa; Chordata; Mammalia; Rodentia; Sciuridae.
GAAAAGUCCGCCACUGAGCGGGGAGGGCACAGUCCUUACUAGAGGCCGCCCUAGUGUCACGCACAUGUAUGCCUUCAUCCUUGUAAACGCCCGCCACUAGGUAGAUCCCAAACCCAGGCCAAAAAGGCGAAGACCGUUCUGGACCACUGCACCAACCGACAGGCUGGACCUAAACCCAUCUAUUAUGAUUACCAUAUCUGGACCUGGAGAUGAGGAAGCUUCCCAAGAAGAGGCUAUCAAUAUCCCAUUACUGACCAUUUGCAUACUCUGCCAACUGCCUAGGGCGACAGAGAAGGGGAUCUCAUAUCAUCUAGAUGAAUGCUGCCAAGUCACAAAGUGCUAAGAGCUUAUGUACUACCCAGAUUAUUGUCAAUAGUGGCAACUGAAAGCUUUAGGGUCCUUGGUGACCACACAGUGCAAAACUGCUCUGUACUAAAUAAUAUAAAAGUCCACAAUAGCUAUUCUCAUCACUUUGAGGAAGGCAGGCUCUUAAUUCAAUAUACUCCUUUUGAACAUCCCUCAAGCUACACAUCUUGCCCAUUUUCUGAACAUAAUACAUGACAAUGAAUAAUCUACAAAGAAAAUAGGUGGUUGCGGCUCACAGUUCUGGAGGUUGAACCGCCAAGCUCCUGCAGCACAAUAUAUGCCCAGGUAAGGGCUUCGCCAAUGGGAAGCCCAAGUAAGCAGUGUGGGUGAGUAAGCACAGGUGCAAGGAUGACCUGCUUCCAAUAACCACCCACUUUCUCAAAGGAACUCCAUUAAGCCCUGGGAAUUCGAAGGGACAAACCAUGUUCAAACCACUUCAGCAACCUACCCACUCUUCAGAUAAAGCUAUCUGUGUUCCCCCUUCCCCUAAUAGUAAGAAGUGAGAAGUAAAUUCUGGGUCCUUCAGGUCCUCUGGUCAGACGUCUCUCUUCCUUUAUAAAGAAAAGAUGAACCCAGGCCCCUACUAGAGGCUCAGCUCCUAGGUUGGCCUUGUGUCCAUUGUCUUGCGCUCCCUUCUGAUCCCAAUGUUAAGCAAGGGUUAAGUGCUUUCAAUUUCCUAAAUUAUAACCAGAUUUCCAAGCCUGUAAUCCACCCCUUAGAAACUGCAUUUCAAUACUAGCUAUUCCAAUUCCUAGUUGGCAAUACCAAAUUUGACCACCCUGCUUCCCCAAACAGAGCAACAUUUGCUUGGGUCUUUGCCAGCCUGGCUACACUUGUGUUCUCUCUUACCUUUUUCAAGUCAGGCCUUCAUUAUCACCUCAAAGAGCCUCCACAGAACUAUCCCAACCUUUCUUACAUUGGUCAGAAGCAAAAUCUUUAUUUGCAGCAGAGCAGGUAUGGGAUGGCACUGCCAGCCUACCUGCUGCUGAGGGAAGAGACUGUCCCCACCCACCCCAGCCCUGCCUGUUUCACACAGCUCCCCGACCCCAGCUUCCAUCAGGAAAAGGAGGACAACAAUCUGCCCCAAAUGGCAGAAAGCAAGGACCCAAAAGGCAAGACGUAGGAUUUUCUUCCCAGUCCUCUUCAUCAAUCAACUCUGGAAAGAUGUCCAAUUAGCACCCUUGUCAACCAGCCUACUUAUCCUACAGCCUAUCUCUAGUUACCUGAAGGGCCAACAAUUUUGUUGGCUGCCUUGCUGGACUAUGAUACCAGUUCCCUGUUCUGCAUAUUCCACUUUCCAUGAGAGCCUGAAGAAGGGAGGCCAAGCAGCAGCCAGCUACAGCUUCCAGAAAGGGUUCCAUAUAAAGCUGGGCUGAGCCCUGGUUCCUGAGGAAGUCUUUGUUCUUUAGGGAUCACAGAGCAGCAUCUAGUGGCCCUUCUGGGCAGCACAGAUUACAUAAUUCAAUGCACAGCAGGGCACCAGAGCAGUGCAGACACCUUAGCCUCUGCUCCUAACACCAGUAGUGACUCCUUAACAACCAAGAAAGUCCUGGCACUGUGAAGACUGGUGCCUAAAAGGGACCCUUGGUGAGAUAGCCCAGCCCAGACCAGCCUAUGGAGCAGAUGACCUUCUCAGUUAUACCUAAACUAGCUCACAUGAGGGCUGGGAGGGAAAGUAGUGGCACAACUGCUGGUCCUUGUUGGUCUAGAACAGCGCUGUCCAACUGAAGUAUAACAUGCGUCACAAUGACAAGCCACAUAGAUAAUUUGAUACUUUCCAGUAGCCACGUUAAAAAAGUAAAAAGAAACAGGUGAUUUGUAAUAAUAUUUUAUUUAACCCAAUAUACCCAAAAUAUUCCAACAUACACUUUAAAAAACUUGAGAUAUUUUACAUUUUUUCACUCUUAUCCUUCAAAAUCUGUUUUUUUUACAUUUGCAGCACAUUAACAGUUCAAAACUAGCCACACUAUAAGUACUCAACAGCUGCAUGUGGCUAGCAGCUACUCAUUGGACAGCGCGGGUCUAGAGGAAGUCACCAGGCUGAGCAGGGAAGCAGAGAAAAGGGCUGCUGCCCUGAGCCUCUUGGGGAGGGGAUCCCCUAAGUUUGGGAAACCCUUUCCUCUCUGUUCCAGUACUAGGAACUCUAUGGAAUAUUUAUUUUAAAGUCCUUUAUAGAAACAAACCUCUAUGCAAGUAAAAUUAUGCACAGAAACACAAUAUUAAAACUGAGAAUACCAAAAUACUCAAACUGGAGAAGAGUCGGCAAAUCCCUUAGAAUCGUUCCCAGGGUCUGAGAACAUCAUGAAAACCACUGCUUCUGAAGAUUCUAAAAGGAAACUAAACCACAGCUGAAUGUGAGAACCCUCUACACACUUGCAUUUCCAUUACUUCAUAUGACUUUUGUAUCACAAUCACCUACCAUAGAAGCAUCAACCUUGGAGGAUCUUACUGACAGAAUCCAAGUGUUCUUGCUGGAACAUGCUGCCUUAGAAAGACAUACCUGAACUCCAUUUCUGCUUUCAGUCAUCACAGAUCAAGUCUCCUGCCCAAAGCCCUCCAAAGUGGACUACAGAUUCGGCUAAAGGAUACUAACAUUAAUAUAAGCAAAUGAGAUAAUGGAGCUUUGGCCAAUCUAGAGGGCUAGACUAUUGCUGAGCUACACAGAGCUGUUUGAACUUGCUCAGAAAACCUCCAGUACUCAAGAAAUGACACCUUUUGAAAAAAAAAUUAUUUUAUUGGAACUCAUCUGAACAUCAGAUAUACCUGGUGUUGGUUAGCAAGAACCGUUUGUACAUUGGAUAUUGAUGGUGCCAAAACCAAAACAGUGACUGGACAUGAUGGGGAGAAAAGAUGUUAAGAACAAAAACCUGAUUUCGGAGAGGAAAAUAAAAGCCAGUCAGAUUCAGUGAAGAUGCAAAACCUGGUACAACAAAAUCCUUUUACAAAAUAUAAAUUUAUUACGAAAACCUGGAAGGAUAAUCUGAGAAAGGUAAAGAAAGAGAAAAGGAGGCCAGCAGGAAGGAGACAGGAAGAGGGGGAGAAGAAAAAAGAGAAAAUGAGAGAAGAAAAUAUUGUUGAGCACAGCGACAAGGUGCUGAAGCUUACCUGCCCAAAUGGCAUUAAAGCCUUGCUAUGUAAUCAUAUCAGAAAACAAAGCAUGCUGAAAUACAGUGCUCUACCGCCCAUCCAUUCGAGUUCUAAGAGGUAAAUAAAGACGCUCCCUAGAAAGGAGACAUGAGGUUGCUUGAAAACCCAACAGAGAAAAUUAAAAAACAAAAUGAAACAAAAAACA